Molecule: long non-coding RNA, 1366 nt
Organism: Magnolia sinica
Lineage: Eukaryota; Viridiplantae; Streptophyta; Magnoliopsida; Magnoliales; Magnoliaceae
Exons: 2
Source: RefSeq, a predicted model, not a curated record
AUUUCACGGCUUGAUCUCAAAAAUUAGAGGUAUAUAAAUCUAAGUUGGAUCACACCACAGGAAAAUAAUAGUGAUUGGAUAUCUACCAUUAAAAUCCUCCUAAGGCCCACUGUACCGUUUAUUUGACAUCGAAUCAGAUGAUUAGGUCAUACAGACCCAAACGAAGUGAAAAAACAAAGAUCAGCUUGAUCCAAAACUUUUAUGGCCCCAAAAAAGUUUUCAAUGGUCGACGUUCAUUCAACACUUUUCCUGUAAUGCGGUUCACUUGAGAAUUAUAUCCCUCUCAUUUUUGGUAUCUAACCCUAAAAUGAUCUGUAAAAAUGGAUGAACGGAAUGGAUGUAACACACACAUCAUGGUGGGGCCCAUAGAGCACCAACCACCAGCCAUUGGCCGGUGGCAGGGGGAGUAGCCAAUCUGUUUCCAUUUUGGACCACAGCGUAUAAUAGGCUGGAAAAAAUGGAUGGACAGCAAGGGCAUACAACACAAAAUCAAGGUGGGCCCCACAUUAAGGGUAACACCCACUAACGUGAUUAAAUAUGAUAAAUACAAGCCAUCCAUCAAGUGUCCCACCAUGUAGAUGCCCUUGGUUAAAAAUUGAGCUAGCUUGAGAAGUCGACUGGCUUAAUAUUUUAGCAUUGUCCUGUAUAAGGUGGAACCCAUUCAUUGAAAGGCUUGGAUCUCACACGUAUGCCACAUUUGCAUGUUGGGUAGUGUUUAGAUGGGCUCUUCCUCACCAAAGCAUCAGUGAUUAGAACUUUAAAUUAAAACAAAACAAAAACACAAACAAAAAACACGCAUACAGGCUCAGCAAACCACUUACAUUGUUAUUUUUUUUUAAGUAUGCAAGUUACAGUGCUCCUAGUUGCAAUGGAAUACUUAAGAACCCAACGAUCAAUCUAAACUGUCCAUUUGUUCCAACACAGAUUUCGUAUAAUACCACGUACACGUCACACCACUCUGACUAUCAUAAUAAUCCAACCGUUAGUCUCUAAUAAUAUGGAUGGCCAUGAUCAUUAACACAAAAUAAGUCCAACAAACAAAUUGAUCAAUCUACUUGUCAGUGACCAUCAUAUAUUGCUUAUGAUUCUAAAGAGACUUUUAUUGGGAAAUUCUACCCAUCCCUACAAGACAUAGAAAAAGAAUGGCUACAAAAUGGAGCAUUGGAUCUCAUCCGAUGAAUGUAAUUUUUGCAUAGUAUCACUUUGUGUUCCGGACUUCAUAUCGAAAGUUCAGCUCGAUUGACAGGACUGUCUAAGCAACCAGAUGCAACUAAGAGCAUUAUAACUUUCGGUACUCCCAAAGCAUAUUGGAGCAUUUUCUACUAGGCAUAUUACGAUUAUCGAAAGAUUAAAAUUAAAAAUUAAA